RNAcentral lists this long non-coding RNA (1213 nucleotides) under Brassica napus (rape). Its description in RNAcentral is "long non-coding RNA (BNAP_LNC004659)". The record is from RNAcentral. Lineage: Eukaryota; Viridiplantae; Streptophyta; Magnoliopsida; Brassicales; Brassicaceae.
GGAUCGGUUCAUUUUGGAUCUUUUUGGAUAUUUCAAUAUUUUGAGUAUUUGUUUGGGGGGGGAGGGGGGGUUUGGCAAUUUCAAAUCUUUUUGGUGUCCUAAAUAAUCAAACCAAUCCAAAUCUGAUACGUACCCAAAUAGUACAUUAAUUUUAUAGAUAUUUGAAUUAUGGAUUCAAACCGACCCUAAUCCAAAAGGAACCAACACAAGCUUGAACCAAAAAAAUACCUAGUUAUGUUCAAAAUGUCUGAACCCAAAAUAAAAUGAUCUGUACCUACCCCAAAACCCGAUGCUCAGACCUAUUCUCUUUCACUAACUUUUGUGUGUUUUUUAAAAAUGUUAUAUUUGCUAAAUUGAUGAGAUUUAAGAGUUAUUUGACAUAUUUUGGCUAAGUUAAUAGUAUAAAUUUGUAAGGUUUUUAAUAGUUUUAAACUUAUUUUAAAUAACAAAUUUUAUUAUAAAUGAUUUUUAUAAAAAGUUAAUUUAAAGUAAAAGAAAAUAUAAUUUUGUUUUUAACAGAUGGUUUGAUUUAUUAAAUUUAAUUUUGCAAAAAUUUGGAACUAUGUGAUGCGUUACAGAUAUUGUUCUACUAUACUAAUAAUAUAUUAAGUUGAUCUACCACUAAACUUGAUAUAAGUCUGGGUGUGGCAUAUGUCUGUUGCAUGUCAUAGAUAUUAUUCUACUAUACUAAAUGUAUUUUAUAUAUGUUUUAGUAUUACAAAUAUUGUUUAAGUUUUGUGUUCAGGUUUUCGAUUUUAGUUUCGGGAUUUGGGUAAAAAUUUCAAUUUAUUUUAAAAAAUAUUUUGGGUAUUCGGAAAAUUAGCUUUUUUUAAUUUCUCGGAUCAUAACGGAUCGGUUCAUUUUGGAUCUUUUUGGAUAUUUCAAUAUUUUCGAGUAUUUGUUUGGGGGGAGGGGGGGGGGUUGGCAAUUUCAAAUCUUUUUGGUGUCCUAAAUAAUCAAACCAAUCCAAAUCUGAUACGUACCCAAAUAGUACAUUGAUUUUAUAGAUAUUUGAAUUAUGGAUUCAAACCGACCCGGAUCCAAAAGGAACCAACCCAAGCUUGAACCAAAAAAAUACUUAGUUAUGUUCAAAAUGUCUGAACCCAAAAUAAAAUGAUUCGUACCUACCCCAAAACCCGAUGCUCAGACCUAUUCUCUUUCACUAACUUUUGUGUGUAUUUUAAAAAUGUUAUAUUUGCUGAAUUGAUGAGAC